This 108-nucleotide small nucleolar RNA is filed under the name Macaca mulatta (Rhesus monkey). RNAcentral describes it as "C/D box 13 snoRNA". It matches the Rfam family "Small nucleolar RNA U13". Lineage: Eukaryota; Metazoa; Chordata; Mammalia; Primates; Cercopithecidae. The record is from RNAcentral.
GAUCCUUUUGUGGUUCAUGAGCAUGAUGAUUGGGUGUUCACACGUUUGUGUGAGAUGUGCCACCCUACAACCUUGUUACGACGUCGGCACAUUCCCCAUCUGACCUGA